GACGAACGCUGGCGGCGUGCUUAACACAUGCAAGUCGAACGGAAAGGCCCUGCUUGCAGGGUGCUCGAGUGGCGAACGGGUGAGUAACACGUGGGUGAUCUGCCCCUUACUUUGGGAUAAGCCUGGGAAACUGGGUCUAAUACUGGAUAGGACCAUGCUGUAGGUGGUGUGGUGGAAAGAUUAGUUUCGGUAAGGGAUGAGCUCGCGGCCUAUCAGCUUGUUGGUGGGGUAAUGGCCUACCAAGGCGUCGACGGGUAGCCGGCCUGAGAGGGUGGACGGCCACAUUGGGUCUGAGAUACGGCCCAGACUCCUACGGGAGGCAGCAGUGGGGAAUAUUGCACAAUGGGCGCAAGCCUGAUGCAGCGACGCCGCGUGGGGGAUGACGGCCUUCGGGUUGUAAACUCCUUUCAGCCAUGACGAAGCCCUUGUGGUGACGGUAGUGGUAGAAGAAGCACCGGCUAACUACGUG
RNAcentral lists this ribosomal RNA (469 nucleotides) under uncultured bacterium. Its description in RNAcentral is "partial 16S ribosomal RNA". It matches the Rfam family "Bacterial small subunit ribosomal RNA", at positions 28 to 507 of the family's 1533-position model. The record is from RNAcentral.